Molecule: ribosomal RNA, 465 nt
Filed under: Vreelandella stevensii
Lineage: Bacteria; Pseudomonadati; Pseudomonadota; Gammaproteobacteria; Oceanospirillales; Halomonadaceae
Description: partial 16S ribosomal RNA
Rfam family: Bacterial small subunit ribosomal RNA
Source: RNAcentral
CCUACGGGGGGCUGCAGUGGGGAAUAUUGGACAAUGGGGGGAACCCUGAUCCAGCCAUGCCGCGUGUGUGAAGAAGGCCCUCGGGUUGUAAAGCACUUUCAGUGAGGAAGAACGCCUGGUGGUUAAUACCCAUCAGGAAAGACAUCACUCACAGAAGAAGCACCGGCUAACUCCGUGCCAGCAGCCGCGGUAAUACGGAGGGUGCGAGCGUUAAUCGGAAUUACUGGGCGUAAAGCGCGCGUAGGUGGCUUGAUAAGCCGGUUGUGAAAGCCCCGGGCUCAACCUGGGAACGGCAUCCGGAACUGUCAAGCUAGAGUGCAGGAGAGGAAGGUAGAAUUCCCGGUGUAGCGGUGAAAUGCGUAGAGAUCGGGAGGAAUACUAGUGGCGAAGGCGGCCUUCUGGACUGACACUGACACUGAGGUGCGAAAGCGUGGGUAGCAAACAGGAUUAGAUACCCCAGUAGUC